UCAGACCCAUAUUCUCAUAGGCCAUCUUAACUGUCGGCCUAUAAAAUAUGGGCCUGGUA
MicroRNA precursor from Bison bison bison, 59 nucleotides. Lineage: Eukaryota; Metazoa; Chordata; Mammalia; Artiodactyla; Bovidae. The record is from Ensembl.